UACAGAGGGGGCAAGCGUUGUUCGGAAUUACUGGGCGUAAAGGGCGCGUAGGCGGCCUUCUAAGUCGAACGUGAAAUCCCCGGGCUCAACCCGGGAACUGCGUCCGAUACUGGAAGGCUUGAAUCCGGGAGAGGGAUGCGGAAUUCCAGGUGUAGCGGUGAAAUGCGUAGAUAUCUGGAGGAACACCGGUGGCGAAGGCGGCAUCCUGGACCGACACUGACACUGAGGAGCGAAAGCCAGGGGAGCAAACGGGG
RNAcentral lists this ribosomal RNA (254 nucleotides) under uncultured bacterium. RNAcentral describes it as "partial 16S ribosomal RNA". It matches the Rfam family "Bacterial small subunit ribosomal RNA", at positions 524 to 777 of the family's 1533-position model. The record is from RNAcentral.